AUGAGGGAGACCCAAAAUUUGUUAUAUUUUAAUUAUUUAUUUAAUUUUUUUUUUUUUUGGAAAAAAUGAAAGGGUAAAUUUUGGGGUAUUACACUAAAUAUAUAUUUCUCUUUUCUCUUUAUCACUUGAGGUUUUAAGACAUACUUCUACGGUUGGAUUGACCAAGACUUUAGGUGCAUAUUUGAUUGUGAAGAGAAAAUAAGAAGAGAGAAAGAGGUUGAAAAUAGUGAGAGAAAAGUGAAGGAAG
This 247-nucleotide long non-coding RNA is filed under the name Lathyrus oleraceus (garden pea). Its description in RNAcentral is "Pisum sativum (pea) long non-coding RNA (PSAT_LNC017187)". The record is from RNAcentral. Lineage: Eukaryota; Viridiplantae; Streptophyta; Magnoliopsida; Fabales; Fabaceae.